RNAcentral lists this ribosomal RNA (513 nucleotides) under uncultured Bifidobacterium sp. RNAcentral's name for it is "bacterial SSU rRNA". It matches the Rfam family "Bacterial small subunit ribosomal RNA", at positions 164 to 688 of the family's 1533-position model. The record is from RNAcentral. Lineage: Bacteria; Bacillati; Actinomycetota; Actinomycetes; Bifidobacteriales; Bifidobacteriaceae.
UAAUGCCGGAUGCUCCGACAUGACGCAUGUCGUGUCGGGAAAGAUUCAUCGGUAUGGGAUGGGGUCGCGUCCUAUCAGGUAGUCGGCGGGGUAACGGCCCACCGAGCCUACGACGGGUAGCCGGCCUGAGAGGGCGACCGGCCACAUUGGGACUGAGAUACGGCCCAGACUCCUACGGGAGGCAGCAGUGGGGAAUAUUGCACAAUGGGCGCAAGCCUGAUGCAGCGACGCCGCGUGCGGGAUGACGGCCUUCGGGUUGUAAACCGCUUUUGACUGGGAGCAAGCCCUUCGGGGUGAGUGUACCUUUCGAAUAAGCACCGGCUAACUACGUGCCAGCAGCCGCGGUAAUACGUAGGGUGCAAGCGUUAUCCGGAAUUAUUGGGCGUAAAGGGCUCGUAGGCGGUUCGUCGCGUCCGGUGUGAAAGUCCAUCGCUUAACGGUGGAUCCGCGCCGGGUACGGGCGGGCUUGAGUGCGGUAGGGGAGACUGGAAUUCCCGGUGUAACGGUGGAAUG